RNAcentral lists this ribosomal RNA (492 nucleotides) under uncultured bacterium. Its description in RNAcentral is "partial 16S ribosomal RNA". It matches the Rfam family "Bacterial small subunit ribosomal RNA", at positions 29 to 507 of the family's 1533-position model. The record is from RNAcentral.
AGUGAACGCUGGCGGUAGGCCUAACACAUGCAAGUCGAACGGCAGCACAGUAAGAGCUUGCUCUUACGGGUGGCGAGUGGCGGACGGGUGAGGAAUACAUCGGAAUCUACUUUUUCGUGGGGGCUAACGUAGGGAAACUUACGCUAAUACCGCAUACGACCUACGGGUGAAAGCAGGGGAUCUUCGGACCUUGCGCGAUUGAAUGAGCCGAUGUCGGAUUAGCUAGUUGGCGGGGUAAAGGCCCACCAAGGCGACGAUCCGUAGCUGGUCUGAGAGGAUGAUCAGCCACACUGGAGCUGAGACACGGUCCAGACUCCUACGGGAGGCAGCAGUGGGGAAUAUUGGACAAUGGGCGCAAGCCUGAUCCAGCCAUACCGCGUGGGUGAAGAAGGCCUUCGGGUUGUAAAGCCCUUUUGUUGGGAAAGAAAAGCAGCAGGUUAAUACCCCGCUGUUCUGACGGUACCCAAAGAAUAAGCACCGGCUAACUUCGUG